Molecule: transfer RNA, 71 nt
Filed under: Neotoma lepida (desert woodrat)
Lineage: Eukaryota; Metazoa; Chordata; Mammalia; Rodentia; Cricetidae
Rfam family: tRNA
About the family: Transfer RNA (tRNA) molecules are approximately 80 nucleotides in length. Their secondary structure includes four short double-helical elements and three loops (D, anti-codon, and T loops).
Source: Rfam by way of RNAcentral
GUGGGGUUGCUCAGUGGUUAGAGCACUGGCUUCUCCUGCAGAGGACCUGGGUUCAGCUCCCAGCACCCACA